This is a small RNA of 37 nucleotides. It matches the Rfam family "abiF RNA". The record is from Rfam.
CCCGCCAAGCCUCUUUACAAUGCUCAAAUCGGCGGGU